ACCAACUCAGAGAACCCAGUUGUUCUUUUCUCCUCCGUCCAUGGGAUUUUCCAGGCAAGAGUACUGGAAGGGAAGUGACUGCAGAAGCCUCACCUAGGGCACUUCAGACCAGAGUUCCUCAUCAGAGAGCUCUGAGCCCAACUUCUCAGCUGGGAGCCAUGUGCAGAAGUGCUGCACACGACACCAUGAAGACCACAGCUGCAAGCAGUGUGCAGAGAGGCUGUGCGGGACACCUCAGCCCCGAGCUGGUGGGCCACAUGCAGGAGCGCUGAGCACAGCACUGGGGUUCCAGAUGGUGGCCGUAUGCGCUGACGCUGCGCCCAGCACUGCAACCAGAGCCCUGAGCAGCACACCUACACUCACCCUCUCAGCCUCUAUAAAGCAACCCCAUCCCACCACUGGUCGGGGAGAGCCUGUGAUCUACAGCAGGAGCCUCCACCUCUCCAUUCUCUGAUCAAGGCUUUCCUUUGCCUCAGAACCAAACUCAGGCUUGUUCUACUGGCAUGAGCAACACCAGGCAGGAGGAUACUUGUUGGCAUGGGACUCAAGAAUGUCAGUAACUCCUUAGCCGAUGGCAAAGCAUUGAACUAACAAUACGUUCAGGCUCUCCCCUGUUUCACUGAAACCACUUUUGGAAUGAAAUACUCCACUAGAUGAUAAAUACUCCACUAGAUGAUAUCCUUGGGCCUGAUACUGUCACUGCUUAAACUGGC
Bos taurus (domestic cattle) is the source of this 713-nucleotide long non-coding RNA. NCBI's taxonomy places the organism in Eukaryota, Metazoa, Chordata, Mammalia, Artiodactyla, Bovidae. The record is from Ensembl.